UUAUACAUGCAAGUCGUACGAGGGCUUUUAGCCUUAGUGGCGGACGGGUGAGUAACACGUGAGAAUCUGCCCUUAGGAGGAGGAUAACAGCUGGAAACGGUUGCUAAUACUCCAUAUGCCGAGAGGUGAAAGGAUUUAUCCACCUAAGGAGGAGCUCGCGUCUGAUUAGCUAGUUGGUAGGGUAAUGGCCUACCAAGGCGACGAUCAGUAGCUGGUUUGAGAGGAUGAUCAGCCACACUGGGACUGAGACACGGCCCAGACUCCUACGGGAGGCAGCAGUAGGGAAUUUUCCGCAAUGGGCGAAAGCCUGACGGAGCAAUACCGCGUGAGGGAUGACGGCCUGUGGGUUGUAAACCUCUUUUCUCAAGGAAGAAGUUCUGACGGUACUUGAGGAAUAAGCAUCGGCUAACUCUGUGCCAGCAGCCGCGGUAAUACAGAGGAUGCAAGCGUUAUCCGGAAUCACUGGGCAUAAAGCGUCUGUAGGUGGUUUGGUAAGUCUGCUGUUAAAGACUGGGGCUCAACCCCAGAAAAGCAGUGGAAACUGCCAGACUUGAGUGUGGUAGAGGUAGAGGGAAUUCCUAGUGUAGCGGUGAAAUGCGUAGAUAUUAGGAAGAACACCAAUGGCGAAGGCACUCUACUGGACCAUAACUGACACUGAGAGACGACAGCUAGGGGAGCAAAUGGGAUUAGAUACCCCAGUAGUCCUAGCCGUAAACGAUGGAUACUAGAUGUUGCACGUAUUAACCCGUGCAGUAUCGUAGCUAAGGCGUUAAGUAUCCCGCCUGGGAAGUACGCUCGCAAGAGUGAAACUCANAGGAAUUGACGGGGGCCCGCACAAGCGGUGGAGUAUGUGGUUUAAUUCGAUGCAACGCGAAGAACCUUACCAGGGCUUGACAUGUCACAAAUCUUUCUGAAAGGAAAGAGUGCCUUCGGGAAUGUGAACA
Molecule: ribosomal RNA, 944 nt
Filed under: uncultured cyanobacterium
Lineage: Bacteria; Bacillati; Cyanobacteriota
Description: bacterial SSU rRNA
Rfam family: Bacterial small subunit ribosomal RNA
Source: RNAcentral